GAAAACUGUAUAUAUAUAAAUGGAAAAUGCAAACAUUUGACCAAAGUGUUUCUCAUUUCAAAAUAUCUCAAAAACAGAUGUUCAUACAAAAACUAGGCUUAUAGUAUACAUCCCAACACAUCUAAACCAGAUAUUGAUGAAGAGAGUGUAGGGACUUGUGUUGUGGACGCAGAGCCCUAAGAAUAACUUCUUUUAGUUGUACCCCCAAUAGAGUUAGAGCCUUUUCCUGAUCAGGAGAAGGCCACGGUCAUUAUUUCAGAACCUCCAGGUACCUUCCAACAUGAUAAAUUUAGUAUUUCUUUUGAUCUUUUAGAAAACUUUUUAGAGGUACCAGUUAUUGAUUUUAUUGGUUGCGAUUCAUUCCUUGAUGUAUACUUUAUAGAGUCUGACAUUAUUUCAUCUUCUUUUUACCCCGCAUGCGUGUGGGAGGUGUUUUUUUUCCUUGGCCUUGUAGGUCCAGCAAAAAUCAAGUGUCCAGAGUGGACACUCCAACUGAACCAGCUCUGACCUCCCGGAAGAAUUUUUCAAGAGUACACUGUGGGAAAAAAGGUGUUCACCUCAACAUAGCAUUCCACUUUUGGAGUGGAUUUUGUACCUUAAUCGACUCCAACCACUAGGAAGGACCACCCUAUUACCGACAUGGAUUCUGCUUCUAAAUCAUUUAUAACUACCAAGAAUAAAGGGGAGUCCAUUCUUUAUUUUUCUUUUUACUGCGUACGUUCUUUACUUUCACACUUUGCUUUCAUAUUUUGCUUUCAUACAUUGCACUUUGUUUAGUCUAGAUAGCAUUUGGUUUUGAAUAAAAUUCUUCAUGUGUGUUCUUAGUAAUAGCUUGAGAAUCGUAAAAGUUUUUUUUUAAUUUUGACCAUCAAUUUUUAGGUCAAUGGACUACUUCAUGCCUAUACUUUAUUCUUUUUUUGUGUGACAUGCACUUAUAACAAUUAAACUCUAGAACUUGCUUUGCUUCUUUUUAAAAUCACAAUAUUAUAUGCAUGCAUGGAGAUGAUGAAGGAUAUUUCUUUCUUAUUCUUUGAUUUCUUUCCCUUUCAAAUGCUAGUGAAUAACUCACUUGUCACUUAUAUCUCGUACCACUUUUUCUUUCUCUUAAUUCCAUUGAGAGUUUUGGAUUGAUUGCUUGAUGAGUUGGAAUGUUUGAGACGGAUAAAAUUCUAAGUGUGGGGGAGGGGUUUGCAUGUGUUUGGAGAUCUUGAAGAUUUUGGAUGACUUCAUGUCCUUGCUAUUGAUGCUUGAUGCAUAUAAUGUGCAGUAAUUAAGGCUGGAAUUUGAAGGUUCUGUUUUUUGGCUUUGUUUGAGUUAGUUGUACUGCUGAUUAGUUUUAAAAAAAAUUGUUCAAAUUUUUAAUGCUGUAAUUCUGGAAUCUGUGACAACUUCAAUGUUUUAAGCUCCUGCUAGAUUUGAGUUUCUGAAUUCAGAAUUUGGCAGGAGAUCAAAAACCAAAACAAGAAUCUUUCUAGUCUUUCAAAUUUUCGAAUGAGUCAAGAUUUAUCAAACUCAAGAAUCUGAAUUCUGAAAUUUUUAGAAUCCUGGAAUUAAUUCUGAAAUGAUUAUAAAGUAGGAAUCUGUUUCAGCAGGCAACUUAGUUGUUCAUAUCUUGUUUGUUUCUUCACUUGUGCAAAAUGAAUGAAUGGAUUCUUUAAGCUAUCAGGGAAACAGGAGAGAACUAGCUGAUCACUGAAAUUUAAAGUUGUGAAAAAUUAGAAUUCUGAAAUCAUCUGAACUGAAAAGCUAUUGCUUCAUAAUUUUAAUUCGAGUAGGGAAGAUGGUUGUGGCUGGACAUGAAGCAAAAGUUUAAAUCUGAUAAUUAGUUAUUGCUUCCUUAAAACUGAUUGAAGUUUGCCUGGAUUGAAGUUGAAGUUGAUUUCCUAAAAAUGAAUGUUUACAACUGUUUCUGAAUUGUAACUCAGCUUCAAAAUGUUGCUGUUAAGGGGGUAUGAGCAAUGAGCUAAUUCUAUCUACCUUUUCAAGUUUAUGGAGGAGUUUAUGGAACUCAAUUCUGAAUUGCCACUGCUGAUGUAAUAUGAAUGCAACUUCAAGAAGGGAAGAAGAGAAAUUGUGAAGAAUAAGAAAUUAGUUGAGUUCUAAAUCAGUUUGAUAGAGGAACUCUAUAGUAGUACUGAGAUUCUACACUACUAUUUCAUUUUAAGAAAUUGAAACCUUCCUUAAAAUUGAUAUCCCAGGAAGUAGCUGAGUUCGAACCCUUGAAUUUCUGAAUUGCUUCUUUACUGUUGCCACAUUCUAUUUGAUUUGGUUUUCUGCUAAUGCAAUAGAAAGACAGAUCUCAAGCUGAAUGACAUUGGGUGUAGCUACAAAAGAAGAGAAAAAUCUGAAGGAGUUGUUGUGUGCCAAGAUUAACUGAAAUUUCUGUUUAGUGACAACUUCAAAAGAAGUUUCUAUCUCUCUCUUGACAAUUGGUAUUACAACCCAUUCCAAACUUAUCAAGAUUCAAGUCUGGAAUUCUCUGAAUCUGAAUUUCUGAAACUAAUUUCCUGAAGUUCUUUGAAUCUGAUUGUCUUGUUCAAAUUCAUGAAAAUUUGAAACCUGAGAUAGCUCAAUUGGUUGAGUUUUUAAUGAAUCUGAUCUCUAGAAAGAUGAGUUGCAUUGAACCUGAUGUUCUGAAACUAAUUUCUGGAUCAUUGAGAAAUUCAAGUGAAGUUCUUAAGUUGCCAUUGUCAAUUGGUACUUUCCUUUUCGAGUUUUCAUGGCUCAAACUAGUAAUCUUAUUCUAUCUGGGACUAGAUUAUCAUCUGUUAUCAAGAAUUUGAUACCACACCACUAAACAAGUUGAGAUAAAGGAACCUUGAAGGUGUAAAUGCUAUGAUUGAAGUUAGUAUGGAAUUUGUGAUUUCCAGAACUUAACAGAAUUAAAGUUGCUGAAAAUUCAAUUGAACAAUUCUAAUGAAGAGUUAACUGAUGCUUGAGUAGGGGCUUGCAUGAGUUUGGUUUAAGGAAGUAUUGCUGUGAGUUUAGUUGGUUCUUCACCCAUACAAGUAAAAGGGAACUGCAUUAUAGGAAAAAAAUCUGAAGAAACUAGAAUUUAUGAUCAAUGAUGUCUGAAAUUGACAUCUGCUGCUGCUGAGAAGGGGAGCUGAGUAUCAAAUUAAAGUGAUGUGUUCCAAGAUUCUUGUGCAACUCUCCGAUAAGUGCAAAGUUCAAGAAGUAAGAAAGAUUGUUCUUCUCCACACUCAUCCAAUUGCUAAACCACACAAGAUACAAAUCAAAUAUUUUCACUUAUGAAUCUGGUUUCUAAAUCCUUGAAUUGCAGAAAUUCCUUGAGCUUGAGCUUGAGCUUGAGUCUAAAUUUGGUUUUAGAAUAUGGAUUUAAACUGAUGUGAGAACAGAAUUAAAUAUAUGAAGUCAAAAGUUGAAAUGCCUAAGGAUUAGUAAGAGAUAUGCCGAAGGAAUAGAAGUAUGGAACAGAUUGGAUUUCACCAGAUUAUCUUCAUAAAAGGGCAGAAGUCAUGACUCAUGACUAAAGCUGCGAGUAGAAUCUAGAAUUUCUGGAACUUGGUAGGAUUUCAAAGGAAAUGAAGAUGAGUGUUGAUUUUGCUCCAUGAGGGGUAAAAACAAGUCCGACAUUAGUUACAAAAUCCCACAUUUGUUUGUUUACUUUAUCAACAAGAGAGAUUCUUUUAUGCACAUCAAUUAGUCAACUCGUCAGGCAAUGAAGGGAGCCAUGAACUCAAGUUGGAUCGAUCUAAAUUUGACUUAAUUAUGAAAUUAAAUGGGGAGAUCAAAGUUCUGGAUCAAUUUGGACUGUUUAUUUAAGAUAUGACAAGAUCUGAACAAUCCAUUAGAGAUCUGGUCCAUCCAAGUUAAGGGACGGUAAAUAAUAGCCAUUGAUCAAGAUCUAGGCCCUUUGAUCCAGAUCUGAACUGAUUUAGCCGUUGAUCAAGAUUUGGAGAGUUCAUGGCCGUCCGUUCAGAUCUGAGAUCAGUUUAAAAGAGAAGCUACCGUUUCAUCGUGCUUCUUCGGCUCCCGAUCGCGAUCACCUCUGUUCUUGGCCAGUUUCUUCCACCGCCGCUCCUUCGCCCGCGAUCUCGAUGCCUCCUUCCAUCUCACCGGAGAUUAGACCACCAGUGGACCACCAGAUGUUAAGGGUUUCCCUUCCUCCGGAGAGCCAUCAUCCUCCCUCUUUCAUCAUUCAUUUGCCGACGCCAUCUCUUCCCUGAUUGCACAUCACCGCCGGCCACUUUUCAUCCACCGUAGGCAUCACCGAGAAGUCAAGGGGUUUACCUUCCUCUGGUCAUGAUCCAUCCAUCAACAAUCGGCGACGCCACUUCCAUCUCCACCGAGGACAGCCCAUCCGCAGCCAUCCACCAGCGCGAAGGAUUGAGUUGGGGUUUCCCAUCGCCGAUCCUUCUCCUUUGAAUUUGGGGUUUCCCUUCUCCAAUCAUCCUUCCGACCACCUCAUCCUCUUCUCCGACUAGCCUUCAACCACAGUACAUUUCAACCUUAGAUUUGGUUCCAGCAGCUCUUCCACAAAUCCGGACAGCAACUCCAUCUCUUCUUCUUCUUCAUCAUCCAGAUCACAAGUUUGGUUUGGUUCUCAGAUGUGUUGAUUUAGAUCUAAUUGCUUGUUGGAUGAUCUUUUGUUGAUUGUUAUGUUGAGGAUGUAAUGGAUUUGGGUUUCUUGUUUAAAAAAAAAAAAAUGUGGAACCGCCACAUCAGCGGCCCCCCUAGAGCCGGUCCCACGGAUAUGGAGGGAGGUAAAUGCAGGUACACAGGUGGAAAGUGCAUGGCGGAGACGUUAACCCCAGGCAGUGACACUCCGGGGAUCUACCCCUGGACCUUUCAGCCACAGAACCAUGCAUUCCCCAUCUGUGCUACGCCCUGGGGACUUGGGUUUCUUGUUUAAGAUUGCAUGUGCUGGGGUCAAGUUGAUUCAUGCCUACAACUUGUUCGUUGAAAUGUUUCUUCUACUUGAUAUGCUUUAGUUUUGCAAUUCCGUUUGUUUAGUUGUUUGCAAUGUCAUUCUUGUUGA
Molecule: long non-coding RNA, 5002 nt
Organism: Zingiber officinale
Lineage: Eukaryota; Viridiplantae; Streptophyta; Magnoliopsida; Zingiberales; Zingiberaceae
Exons: 3
Source: RefSeq, a predicted model, not a curated record